Molecule: ribosomal RNA, 400 nt
Filed under: uncultured bacterium
Lineage: Bacteria
Description: bacterial SSU rRNA
Rfam family: Bacterial small subunit ribosomal RNA
Source: RNAcentral
AAUCAACGCUGGCGGCGUGCCUAACACAUGCAAGUCGAACGCGAAAGUCCCGCAAGGGAUGAGUAGAGUGGCAAACGGGUGAGUAACACGUGGGUGACCUGCCUUCGAGCGGGGAUAACGUCCCGAAAGGGACGCUAAUACCGCAUGACAUCCUGCCUUUGAAGAGGUGGAGAUCAAAGCUGGGGAUCGCAAGACCUAGCACUUGAAGAGGGGCCCGCGUCUGAUUAGCUAGUUGGUGGGGUAACGGCUCACCAAGGCAACGAUCAGUAUCCGGCCUGAGAGGGCGGACGGACACACUGGGACUGAGACACGGCCCAGACUCCUACGGGAGGCAGCAGGUGGGAAUUGUUCGCAAUGGGCGCAAGCCUGACGACGCAACGCCGCGUGGAGGAUGAAGACC